GAUGAACGCUGACAGAAUGCUUAACACAUGCAAGUCGAUGGGGAAGUGGUGCUUGCACCAUGGUAACCAUGGCGGACGGGUGAGUAACGCGUAAGGAACUUACCUGCGGGACCGGGAUAACAGCAGGAAACUGCUGACAAGACCGGAUAAGGUCAUUAAGCUGCAUAGCUUAGUGAUGAAAGGAGACGCCUGCGGAGAGCCUUGCGUCCUAUUAGCUAGUUGGAGGGGUAACGGCCCACCAAGGCGAAGAUAGGUAGCCGGCCUGAGAGGGUGGACGGCCACAAGGGGACUGAGAGACGGCCCUUACUCCUACGGGAGGCAGCAGUGGGGAAUAUUGGACAAUGGGGGCAACCCUGAUCCAGCAAUUCUGUGUGCACGAAGACGGUUUUCGGAUUGUAAAGUGCUUUCAGCAGGGAAGAAGGAAGUGACGGUACCUGCAGAAGAAGCGACGGCUAAAUACGUG
Molecule: ribosomal RNA, 463 nt
Filed under: uncultured bacterium
Lineage: Bacteria
Description: partial 16S ribosomal RNA
Rfam family: Bacterial small subunit ribosomal RNA
Source: RNAcentral